GAAACGCAAUACGCCGCGUAGACUUCGGUCACGACGGUAUGGCGAGCUUUCGCCGUCCACGUUUCUCUUUCUUCAAAAGGAUAUCGAACCAUUGGUUUGCGCUCACGCACGUACCGCCCUUCGGGCUGUGCUCCGCGGGGGCGCCGGACGACCGGCGACGGCCUCUGGCCUGUAUGGGAGAGCCUUCAUAGGCUUGAAGUUCGGCGAGAUGGGCCCGUAGCUCAGUUGGUUAGAGCACACGCUUGAUAAGCGUGGGGUCGGAAGUUCAAGUCUUCCCGGGCCCACCAUUUGCAUUUGUGAAUGGCGGUUAGUUUGGGUUUACCUGAUCCUGACGGUUUGCUGUCAGGUGUUUGCGAUGGUUGGGGCUGUAGCUCAGCUGGGAGAGCACCUGCUUUGCAAGCAGGGGGUCAGCGGUUCGAUCCCGCUCAGCUCCACCAAUUCGCUUGGUGUCGAGACUGAGAGAUAUCCUUUGAAGAAAUAAAAAAGUUUGCAUCGGCUUAUGGCCUGAUGCCUGUUCUGCAUACAUUGUGAAGAGAAGAUUGAUCUGGAGGCUUCCAGGUGUUUUGGGUUCUGCCCAAAAUGUCCGAGCCCAGUUCUGCUGAUCCUAUGGAUGGCCUAGCCGGCCGGAGAUAGGGGAAGGACUGGGGGUAGGUAGGAAGCUUGUCGCUCUGGGUCGUUGUUGUUCGUUGCCUUCGGGCAUCGUCUGACGGACGACUUGAUUACCGUUGCCUGACCGCGCGGUAUCGGAUCCAAUCUCGAGAAGCUGGUCUUAAGACAGGCUGCAAGUGGGCUGCUCGGCGUAGCUCCAAUAAAGCAGACCUGUCGAACACGUCGAUGGCAU
RNAcentral lists this transfer RNA (841 nucleotides) under Rhizobium sp. RNAcentral's name for it is "partial 16S-23S ribosomal RNA intergenic spacer". The stretch from base 211 to 284 matches the Rfam family "tRNA". The record is from RNAcentral. Lineage: Bacteria; Pseudomonadati; Pseudomonadota; Alphaproteobacteria; Hyphomicrobiales; Rhizobiaceae.